RNAcentral lists this ribosomal RNA (253 nucleotides) under uncultured bacterium. Its description in RNAcentral is "partial 16S ribosomal RNA". It matches the Rfam family "Bacterial small subunit ribosomal RNA", at positions 524 to 776 of the family's 1533-position model. The record is from RNAcentral.
UACGAAGGGGGCUAGCGUUGUUCGGAAUUACUGGGCGUAAAGCGCGCGUAGGCGGUGAUCUUUGUCUGAGGUGAAAGCCUGGGGCUCAACUCCAGAAUUGCCUUUGAAACGGGAUCGCUUGAGUCCGAGAGAGGAUGGCGGAAUUCCUAGUGUAGAGGUGAAAUUCGUAGAUAUUAGGAAGAACACCGGUGGCGAAGGCGGCCAUCUGGCUCGGUACUGACGCUCAGGCGCGAAAGCGUGGGGAGCAAACAGG